This 254-nucleotide ribosomal RNA is filed under the name uncultured bacterium. RNAcentral describes it as "partial 16S ribosomal RNA". It matches the Rfam family "Bacterial small subunit ribosomal RNA", at positions 100 to 354 of the family's 1533-position model. The record is from RNAcentral.
CGGGGUAGAGUAACGCGUGGGUAACCUGCCUCAUACAGGGGGAGUAACAGUUAGAAAUGACUGCUAAUACCGCAUAAGCGCACAGAAUCGCAUGAUUCGGUGUGAAAAACUCCGGUGGUAUGAGAUGGACCCGCGUCUGAUUAGCUAGUUGGUGGGGUAAAGGCCUACCAAGGCGACGAUCAGUAGCCGACCUGAGAGGGUGAUCGGCCACAUUGGGACUGAGACACGGCCCAAACUCCUACGGGAGGCAGCAG